CCUACGGGUGGCAGCAGUAGGGAAUAUUGCUCAAUGGGGGAAACCCUGAAGCAGCAACGCCGCGUGGAGGAUGAAGGUCUUAGGAUUGUAAACUCCUUUUGUGAGGGAAGAUAAUUACGGUAUCUCACGAAUAAGCACCGGCUAACUCCGUGCCAGCAGCCGCGGGAAUACGGUGGGUGAAAGCGUUACUCGGAAUCAAUGGGCGUAAAGAUUGCGCGGGCGGGCUUGUAAGUCAGAUGUGAAAUCCUGUAGCUUAACUACAGAACCGCAUUUGAAACUAUGAGUCUAGAGUGUGGGAGAGGUAGGUGGAAUUCUAGGUGUAGGGGUAAAAUGCGUAGAUAUCAAGAGGAAUACUCAUUGCGAAGGCGACCUACUGGAACAUUACUGACGCUGAUGCACGAAAGCGUGGGGAGCAAACAGGAUUAGAUACCCGAGUAGUC
Molecule: ribosomal RNA, 440 nt
Filed under: uncultured bacterium
Lineage: Bacteria
Description: partial 16S ribosomal RNA
Rfam family: Bacterial small subunit ribosomal RNA
Source: RNAcentral